This is a long non-coding RNA of Panicum virgatum (switchgrass), 1381 nucleotides long. RefSeq lists it as uncharacterized. The record is from RefSeq and is a predicted model, not a curated record. The transcript has 3 exons. Lineage: Eukaryota; Viridiplantae; Streptophyta; Magnoliopsida; Poales; Poaceae.
CUCCCCCUCUAAAAUCCCAUCACCCCCUCCCUGUGCUUUUUCUUGUUCUUGUUUUUCCCUCUCCGCUCUCCUCUCUAGGUCCAGCAAAUUGGGGAUGAAAUCUUGAAUCUUUGUACUGCGAUUUGAAUGGGAAAGGAGGCCUAUCCCUCCUUGUGCCCUCCUAUGGGUUGAUUUGAUUCAAUUCGUGUACUUGUUCUCUUAAUUUUCGUUGGAAUUUGUUGGUUCCUUUGGGAUUUGUCUCUGUUCCUGUGCAGAUCGGGGAACGCAGGGGAAGCUUCGCCCGGGCAACUCGUGUGCGGAGCUGCGCGCGCGCCAGGCUCGCGGCGCAGACCACGCGACCCCCGCUGCAGGGCCAGCGCUGCUCUGCGGGAGGCGGCCGUGGGCAGGUGCGCUCGCUGCCUGCCGGCGCUGCAUGCCUGGCUGAGAACCGAGCAGGAGCUCGCACGGGCCCCUCCCUGCGGUACGCGCUCUUGUCAGAGCUCAAGUGCGGUGGUGAUCCAGCGCCAGGGGCGGAGGCUCAAGCGGAGCACGCAGCGCCAGUUCGCGCAGAGGCAGGACGGCAGGAGCACUACGCAAGGGAAUUCCGAUCCGGCCAGCAGCAAGGCCAGCUCGCUGGCAGCUCUAGGCGCGCGCCGGGGCUGAGGCACAGGCAGGGCAUCCACGCGCGGGCCAAGACUCGGCGCAUCAGGCCAGCAAGGGGCGACGCCCACCAGCAUGCACUGCAGGAGCGGCACAAGCAAAAGAAGCAACGCCUUUGUGAUUUUGAUUGGUGAGCACGCGUAUGUACAUGCUUGAAUUUUGAUUGGUUUGCAGGUUUCUGGAAUGUGUGUGAGUGCGUGGGAAAUCCAAGAGUGGACUGAUGGUCAUCUGUUGAAGCUUCGACAACGCCCAUCAAGUGCUUGCGGUCAACUAGGAUCGCCAUGGGAUCCAAAUGCGAUUGUAUCUGUAGACCAAUACAACUCCAGCAUUGUUGGGCAAAAGGACAGUUCAGAAACAGAUGUUCAAUUGUCUCAUCUUCUUGACAGGGGCAGAAAACGCAGGAUCCCCAAAGCCAUUGGAAGGAAUGAUGAAUCGCUGUGUGGCCUUUCAUGUAUUUGUAAGCUUUUUGUGGGUUUUAAUGAGGACUCCCCCAAAUGUAAGUCCAAGAAUCUUUUUCAUUAUGAAGGUUACAACUGUCCAUGUUAUCCAAGAGUGGUUCAAGUAGAUUGAAAGCUUCAGCCGAGAUGGGCAGGUGCAGAAUUUGCCUUGGUUAUCCAAGGAGCAAAGAAGAAAUAUUUUCCUGCAAUUGUGUAAGGAACAUGGCUCCACUGGUCUAUUGUUUGUGAUUUUGGUGAUUGUGUGACAAUAUAAUCAAUGAGACUAACAAGUUUGUGAGAUUACA